RNAcentral lists this ribosomal RNA (301 nucleotides) under uncultured bacterium. RNAcentral's name for it is "partial 16S ribosomal RNA". It matches the Rfam family "Bacterial small subunit ribosomal RNA", at positions 509 to 809 of the family's 1533-position model. The record is from RNAcentral.
CAGUCGCCGCGGGAAUACGUAGGUCCCGAGCGUUGUCCGGAUUUAUUGGGCGUAAAGCGAGCGCAGGCGGUUAGAUAAGUCUGAAGUUAAAGGCUGUGGCUUAACCAAAGUACGCUUUGAAACUGUUUAACUUGAGUGCAAGAGGGGAGAGUGGAAUUCCAUGUGUAGCGGUGAAAUGCGUAGAUAUAUGGAGGAACACCGGUGGCGAAAGCGGCUCUCUGGCUUGUAACUGACGCUGAGGCUCGAAAGCGAGGGGAGCAAACAGGAUUAGAUACCCCCGUAGUCCCUGUCUCUUAUACAC